UUAAGCUAUUGCAUUGGUGUUCGAAGUUGUUUUAUACGAUACCGUGUAUAGUUUUUUAUUGUUAUGAGUUAAAAAAUAAGAGAGAGUUUGCUUAAAUUUUAGUGUACUUAUGCUCAACUAGUACGUUACGAAUUUUUGAAUUUCUGUUUCGGUACACAAAAAAGAAGUAUGGGAAUGAAUAUUGCAUGAAAACUAAUAUUUUUUUGCAAAAAAUAGAGAAUAUGAAAUGAAUUAAAUAACGAUUAUAAAAAGUUUUAUUACCACUUUCAUCUAAAUAAAAUGAUACAAAGUUGUAGGCUAUAAAAAGCUAAAUAAUUCACAAUAAAAGUAUUUUCGUUGCCUAGGACAAAAUGUCUAAUUGGCCGAUAUUCGAUGAUUUUUAAAUAUAUUCGUGAAAGAAACAUAAGGCUUUAUUUAUCAUAGAGCUGGUGUUGAAGUGUGGAUUUUAUCAAAAUUUCAGUGAAUAAGGGAAAAA
This 475-nucleotide unclassified non-coding RNA is filed under the name Bartonella henselae. RNAcentral's name for it is "BH06510-BH0652 intergenic spacer". Lineage: Bacteria; Pseudomonadati; Pseudomonadota; Alphaproteobacteria; Hyphomicrobiales; Bartonellaceae. The record is from RNAcentral.